This 359-nucleotide ribosomal RNA is filed under the name uncultured bacterium. RNAcentral's name for it is "bacterial SSU rRNA". It matches the Rfam family "Bacterial small subunit ribosomal RNA", at positions 30 to 384 of the family's 1533-position model. The record is from RNAcentral.
AUUGAACGCUGGCGGCGUGCUUAACACAUGCAAGUCGAUCGGUAACAGGUGUAGCGAUACAUGCUGACGAGAGGCGGACGGGUGAGUAAUGCUUGGGAAUCUGCCUAUUAGUGGGGGACAACCCGGGGAAACGUCGGGCUAAUACCGCAUACGCUCUACGGAGGAAAGCCGGGGACCGCAAGGCCUGGCGCUAAUAGAUGAGCCCAACGUCGGAUUAGCUAGUUGGUAGGGUAACGGCCUACCAAGGCGACAAUCCGUAGCUGGUCUGAGAGGACGACCAGCCACACCGGAACUGAGACACGGUCCGGACUCCUACGGGAGGCAGCAGUGGGGAAUAUUGGACAAUGGGGGCGAACCCU